CCUACGGGUGGCAGCAGUAGGGAAUUUUGCGCAAUGGGCGAAAGCCUGACGCAGCAACGCCGCGUGAUCGAGACGCCCUUCGGGGUGUAAAGAUCUGUCAGUGGGGACGAAACUUGACGGUACCCACAGAGGAAGCACCGGCUAACUCCGUGCCAGCAGCCGCGGUAAUAUGGGGGGUGCAAGCGUUGUCCGGAGUCAUUGGGCGUAAAGAGUUCGUAGGCGGGUUGUAAAGUCUGUUGUUAAGGUUAGAGGCUUAACUGUUGUAGGGCAGUUGAUACUUGCGAGGUAGAGUGCGGUAGAGGUAGGGGGAAUGCGGGGUGUAGAGGUGAAAUGCUGAGAUAACAGGAAGAAAGACGAGGGCGAAGGCAGUUUGCUGGACUGUAAUGGACGCUGAUGCCCGAAAGCGGGGGUAGAAAACAGGAUGAGAUACCCUUGUAGUC
This 440-nucleotide ribosomal RNA is filed under the name uncultured bacterium. RNAcentral describes it as "partial 16S ribosomal RNA". It matches the Rfam family "Bacterial small subunit ribosomal RNA", at positions 338 to 795 of the family's 1533-position model. The record is from RNAcentral.